AUUUUUAUAUCCAGUGUCUUCCGAAUUUCACAACAAAACAAUACGUCGAAACCUCUUCGAAUCUAAGAUGAAAAUCCUGAUUUACGGGGAAAAUGAACCCCUCUUCAAGGAUUAUCGCCAGAUACGAAAUAAACUCUCCUUUUUCACUUGUGUUUUUGAUUGAGCUUUUCUUUUAUCUGUUUCAUCAAGAUUUAACUUUUCUCUUCACUAUCUUGCAAGUUUGCUUUGACAUAAUCAAUAUCAGUUAAAUGAAAACGAAAAUGUUGAAUAUCACAUUAUUAAUCGAGUACCAAAAUUAGCCCAGAGAGUUUGGUAUUAUCCAUUUUAUUGAUUCAUUCUUUUGAUUAUAACAAUUUGUAUUUUUCUGACGUUUGUGUUGUGCUGUUAUUUAUUUGUUGCAAUUAGUUUCAGUCAUGUUUAAUUCAUUAUUGCUAUUUCAUUCUUUGAUUUUUUUUGGAGAUUCUUGUGAUAUAUGUUCCAGAAAAUGCCCGGUAAUUGGGUGGGUGGUAAAAGCAUAGAUGGCAGAUUAUUUAAUUCUUGAUUUUCCAUGGUCGUUUUAUGUUAAUAUCCAAAUCCUUGAAUCCAUAUGCAACCUUAGAUAUAAUCCAACUUCCUCGUUGUUUAAUUAUUUGAUGUAGGUUAUGUAAAUUAAAUGGAUAAUACCAUUUAGUUAUAUUUUAGUAGUUGCAGCAAGUUUGAACCAAAAUCAGGAAAAUGUUUGUACAAAUUAGGUAUGAGCUUGGAGGGAGUGAGCAUCAACUCAUGUAGCAUCUGUCCCAAAGUGAAACAAUGAUGAAACAUAGAAGUUGUUGAAAAUCAUGUAACUCUCAUUCGUUUUCAUAAGUAAUAGUAAUAGUAAACUAUGUGUAUUCACUUAGGUAACAGUGGGACACCGAGGUCUUAGUUGUUUGUGGAUGUAAGAGCUACAUGUCUAAAUAUAGUUUAGUGGAGAAAUGGUGAUUAUGGGUUAUGUUUAGAGGUUCACAUGCAUGAUGCAUCAACCUUGGGAUAUAGAUAGAUGGAUGUCAAGGAUAUUAGGAAAUUCCAACUCUAAUCAGAUUGCACAAGUAUUCUACGGAAGAAAACCAUAGGUCGAAUGAGGUUGAUACUACAUGACAUGUACAAGGUUGCUAAUUUUAAAAGUAAAGAGAGUCAUAGUAGAUUCUAUGAAAAAAGAGAUUCUAGUUGCACAGAAUACAAGUGGAAUGGUCAGUUACAUCAGAGGAGAUCGUCUUACAAAAUGCUAUAGUUGUCUCCACUGACUUCUAGAGGAGCCGAGAAAGACAAGAUGUUAGGCAACAUAACUAUUAGAGAAAUAAAUAUUUUGCAAUAUUAAAAUAAUUAGAAUAGGCUAGAAUAUGUAUAACUAGAACUAUGUAUCUCAUGUUAACCGACUUAGCAUAAAUUAAUCCAGAAUAGGUAAUUAGGUACCAAAAUAUUUUGGUGUUUUUGUGUGGUCUCCAAUGUUGAAUUCCUAUAAAUAGGCAUUAGGCUUUUUUUGUAGCAAUGCAAGGGAGAGUGAAGAAUUGAAAAUAAGUGAGUGUGAGAGUGUUCUAUUGUGAGGUGUGUCCUAAUCGAGCUAGUGGUGUGUCCUCGGGUAUCUAAUGAGGUGUGUCAUCCAAGAGUGUGUUUUAAGUUGUUUCCUCAAAAGUAUUGUAAUGUGAUCUUGUGUUGGUGUUGUGUAACUGUCUGUUCGUGUAUUUGGUGGUUCGUACACCAUUGUUGAGUAUAAUAAAUAUCCUUUUGUGUAAUCGAUUUUGUAGUACCAUGGAUAACCAACAAAUGUAUGUUAUCUUUGGUUGUUAUUGUGUAUUCUAAGUGGAAAUCUAACUAUUAUCGGAGAUAGUCACAUUUUUAAUGUCGAAUUUCAUAGUGGAAGAUACAAUCUUUUUAGUGGAAGAUACCCAAGAUACUUAUUAUUUCUCACUAGUCUUUAUCCCACAUCGAACUCUUACCCGUAAUACUUCUUUUUUUCACCUAUAAAAGGGUUCUAAGUUUCCUUUUAUUUUUUCUAUCGGCCAACUAAAAUAGUUCUUAAUUAAGGGUGUUUUUGGCUUUGCUAUAAUUUGGUGAAGUGGUCAAUCAUAGAGGGCGUGUGGGGCUACACACAUCGUUCAGAGACAUUCAUUACCAAAGUUUUUGUUUUUAAUUUCAUCAAAUUUGACUGGAUUCGUCUCUGUGGAGCACUAAAGUUCAAUAUCUCGGUGCAAAAAAUGAAAAUCCCUCCAAGGUUUAUUCAAUCUCUUCCAAGAAACUGGCCAUUGAAUUUGUCACUUCGAGACCGUUAUAACAAUUUGAGGAAUGUGAAAGUGGAAAUGAUUGGUGGUGAUUGGUACUUUAAAGAUGGUUGGGCAAAAUUUGCUGAUGAUAAUAAGAUAAAAGGAGGGGAUAUGUUUAUCUAUGAGUAUUUCUCUCAUGGUUUACUUGACUUCAAAAUUCAUGGAGGCAAUGGUUGCUUAACUGAAGGUGCUGGAGGUCGGAUUACUCAUACACCUGAUUGUGGCCUAUCGGUGAAGGACACUCACCUGAGAAUUAUGUUAAAGAAGCGAAUCACCGAGAUGCUCAUACUGUAGAUGAGGAAUCAAGAGACGAUGCUCCACUGGAGCUAGCGAGGGACGGUACGGCCAGUUCUAGCAAACGUUAUAUCAGAAGAACCUACGAUUGGUACGGUGUAGAGCUCUUCAAUACCGGGUUCAUUCCACCAUCCCCGAAUCCUUAUUUCGUGGCCCAAAAUGAAAGAAACAGAGGAGGUUCUCAAUUAUAUAUACACAUGGAAGUGAUCAAAAGCUUCAAUCUGAAACUCCCUGAGAAUGUGACGCUCCUCGACCCAAAAGGAAGGAAGGCAGUUUCCUGCCAAACGCAAGAUGUGGAUGGACCAGAGGACGUUCUACACCGAAGGCUUGAAAAGCCUUUGUGAAGUGAACAAGGUGGAAGACAAAGAUUCGUGCAUUUGCGAGUUCUUGUAUAACGCUGAUGAUCUAUGCAUCAGUGUAACCUUCUUUCCCCCCUAAAUAGCAACAAGGAGUGGAUUAGAUUAGUAUUGGGGAGUUCACAUUCCUAUAGUUUCAGAGGUUUUUUUAUGCAUUUGAGAUUCCUGAGUUAUUGUUGGGAUAUGAUUUUAGGAUGUAUGAUUUGUUAUUUCAGUCAAUAGUUAUUCAAAGCAAUAAAUUUCAAACUAAAA
Long non-coding RNA from Salvia splendens (bonfire salvia), 3181 nucleotides. RefSeq lists it as uncharacterized. The transcript is spliced from 6 exons. NCBI's taxonomy places the organism in Eukaryota, Viridiplantae, Streptophyta, Magnoliopsida, Lamiales, Lamiaceae. The record is from RefSeq and is a predicted model, not a curated record.